Molecule: long non-coding RNA, 399 nt
Organism: Maniola jurtina (meadow brown)
Lineage: Eukaryota; Metazoa; Arthropoda; Insecta; Lepidoptera; Nymphalidae
Exons: 3
Source: RefSeq, a predicted model, not a curated record
UCCGCCGUUAUUCGGAAAAUAGAUGUCGCAGAGUAAGCAUGCAUGAUUCUAGGUAUUGUAAAUAAACUAGACUAAGUAUUAGUUAAGGAAUCAACAUAAUAUGUAAAUAGAAAAUGGGAAAAAUAAAGUCUUAACCACAGAGGGGGUGAGGCAGCGAAUAUUCUAGAUAAUUGGGCAAAAAUAUAUAUAAACGCGGGGGUGUCUCGACUGGACAUUCCACUGAUCACCGAACAAGAGUCAGCGACAAGAAAAUCGGAAAACUGGGAAAAUCGCUGCCUCACUACGCCUGGCUGGAGACUGCAGAACGACAUAGCGCAUUUUUAUUGCACCUCGGGGUUGGGGGCGAGGUUCGAUACCCGGGGAAAGCUACCCCCCACACUUUUUUCAGCAAGCAGAGUU